AUUGAACGCUGGCGGCAUGCCUUACACAUGCAAGUCGAACGGCAGCACGGGAGCAAUCCUGGUGGCAAGUGGCGAACGGGUGAGUAAAGUAUCGGAACGUGCCCAGUCGUGGGGGAUAACGUAGCGAAAGUUACGCUAAUACCGCAUACGAUCUAUGGAUGAAAGCGGGGGAUCGCAAGACCUCGCGCGAUUGGAGCGGCAGAUAUCAGAUUAGGUAGUUGGGGGGGUAAAGGCUCACCAAGCCGACGAUCUGUAGCGGGUCUGAGAGGACGCCCAGCCACACUGGGACUGAGACACGGCCCAGACUCCUACGGGAGGCAGCAGUGGGGAAUUUUGGACAAUGGGCGAAAGCCUGAUCCAGCCAUGCCGCGUGCAGGAUGAAGGCCUUCGGGUUGUAAACUGCUUUUGUACGGAACGAAAAGGUUUGGCCUAAUAAGCUGAGCUCAUGACGGUACCGUAAGAAUAAGCACCGGCUAACUACGUGCCAGCCGCCGCCGUAA
This 500-nucleotide ribosomal RNA is filed under the name uncultured bacterium. Its description in RNAcentral is "partial 16S ribosomal RNA". It matches the Rfam family "Bacterial small subunit ribosomal RNA", at positions 30 to 523 of the family's 1533-position model. The record is from RNAcentral.